GCCCCCCCCCCCCGCUGCUGGAUCGCCGCUGCUGGAUCGCCGAGCGAUCCCUGUCCGCGCGCUUGCGAUGAACUCCGACCCGGCCGUCCCUAAAGAGCUCGGUGUUCUUUUGUAAGAUAAAGACCUCGGAAGGGUGCCCCAAGGCUCGCAAGAUAAAGAUAUCGGAAGCUAAAGACCUCGGAAGAUAAAGACCUCGGAAGAUAAAGACCCCAAGGCGAAUCGAAGAUAAAGAACUCGGAAGGGCGCCCCAAGGCUCGCAAGCAAAGUCGGAGCCUCGGCCGGGUCGGAGAUCAUCGCAAGCACGAAGCAGCAGACAGGGGAGAGCUCGGCGAUUCAACAGCGGACAGGGGAGAGAUUGACGAUCCAGCAGCGGACAGGGAGACCCUCAGAUAUGAAAACCUAAAAUGAGACACAGGGGAGAGCUCGGGUUCAGCCUAUUAUUUGGCCUUGCAUUUGUAGGUGUUGAUAAGAAUUUGGAUCCAUAUAUUGUCACUUGCGUUUGAUCUUUUCCAUUGUGGGAAUAUAACUUAUGAUUUCUCUGAAGCAAAAACUUUAGGAUAUCAUCCUUUGGUCUCUGCUUACUUCAUGGGAGUACAAUUUGCUCAAGAGACUAAGAAGGUCUUGGAGGUUUCUGCAAAGAAUGAAAUGACUUUUUUUGCUGGACAGAUAUACUACAAUUUGACUGAAAAAUUUUUUGCAGAUGGAAGAGUACUUGAGAAACCAAUGAUGAACAUGAUCAUCUUUGUCUUGAGUUGCUUGGAUCAGCUAUCGAUGACGUUUGGCGAGAAUAAUUAACCUGGAAAGUUGUUCUCUUAGCCAUUGGAUCAUUCUUUGUUGCUAUCUUGAAAGUAUUUUGCAGGUCAGUUGUACCGUAAGAAGCUGUUCUGGGAUUUGGCAGAAGAAGAAUUUAACUUUGCUCGAAUGCUCUUACAGGAAAAUGCCAUCAUAAUUUCUUGCAGGCAUUGCAAGUUGAUUUUUGACGUUACAAUUGAUAUGCAAAUUGCAGAUUCAUCGACAGAACGCUUGAAUAAAGGAGAUGAUAAUUACUCGGCAAUAUGUUGCUUUAAUUUUAAGCAUCAGAGUUGAUAAGCUAGUGUUGAUAGGGUCGAGAGUUGUUGGUAAGGGCAAGAGGUGGGUUUCAUGGUCGGAUUGUUGCAAAAAUUUACUAGGCACUCACCCAGAUUCAAAUGUACUCUACUACUCCCCAAGUGCUCAAAGUGUUACAGUGUGAUUCCAGAUGGGUCAUGCUAAAUCACAUACGUGUGUACCCCUAAGAUGGUUGUGGUGGACAUUUUACAAUGAGACAUAUGAAGGUUAGGAUGACAUCAUCUUUCAGAGGCAUGUACAGGCUUAUACUCAUCAUACUGGGCUGCUUUCUUAUUCCUUAUAUAUCUAAAUCAGAGAUCAUUUGCAGUACUUACCGGUUAUAGAGGAUUUGCUAGUUCUCUCCCAAUGCUCUAUUGGAUUAGCUCAACCCGGAAAUUUGUACGAUGUGCUCACACAAGCUACCCUGUCUGGUGAAUAUGCCAGGCUGUUUGCAUUUACUACAGCUAUGGACUUUAGAAAGAUUUCAUUCCAUUCCCUUCAGAGAUUGAUGGAAGUAGUGUUAGAUAGAUGUUGAAUGAGCAGUGCAUAUGAGCAGCGGUCGUGUCAUGUUGGGGUAUACUGUAAUGAAUUUGAUGGACUAUUUCUCUCAAAGAUUGUAGAUUUGUGCACCUCUGGUUCAGUUGCUUGGGAGAUAUUCUAGAGGCAUAGAUCGGGAUCAAGUUGUUGCUAUAUACAAGAUUUUGUUCAAGACAUGGGCUACACUACAACUACUUAGAGCUGCAGAGGAACCACUAGACGCAUAAUACCUUUGGGCACAUAUACAGACAACAUGAUUUCGUCGCAGAGAUAGAGGUGUAUUUAUCGCCAUUUUGGGGCUCCAGUGAUGAAAGUCUCAAAUGGAAGGCCAUAAAUAUUGUAGAGGAUGUUCGUAGCCACAUGAGGCGAUCAUCCUACCUAUCUAGUAUGCCACGAAGAUAUGACAAUGACGAGGAGGACGUAGGUGUUCCAUUGCCAACCUAUGAUGAUCCUGAGCCUUCCAGUUCUACCUUCAUAAUCCCACUGCCUCAUGUUCAGCUGACUUGGUCAUCAUAUGAGUACCCUCCGACAACAUAUAUAUGAUGCAGCAGGUACCUCAAGAGCGACACUAGGCAGCACCCCUUCACAUCAGUAGUUAUAGAUUCUGCAUUCACCGAUGCCUUCACAGGAUCAUCAAAUUUUGGAGUACGGUGUAGACUUCUUACAAGAUCAGGGAUAGUUUAUAUCAUAUCAUGUGCAUCUAUCAGCCACACCAAGAUGAGUGGACGACCAACACCUGCGAGAGCGACCCCGACAACCGCCAAAUUACUACAAACCAUGCAGAAGAGCGAUACUUCAUCGACAACGUCGUCGGUGGUCGUACGAUAUAUAUAUAUUAAAUAUUAUUUUAAUUGUCAGCUUACAUUCAAUUUGGGCACUGAA
Phalaenopsis equestris is the source of this 2505-nucleotide RNA transcript. RefSeq lists it as uncharacterized. Lineage: Eukaryota; Viridiplantae; Streptophyta; Magnoliopsida; Asparagales; Orchidaceae. The record is from RefSeq and is a predicted model, not a curated record. The transcript is spliced from 10 exons.